RNAcentral lists this ribosomal RNA (468 nucleotides) under uncultured bacterium. Its description in RNAcentral is "partial 16S ribosomal RNA". It matches the Rfam family "Bacterial small subunit ribosomal RNA", at positions 28 to 507 of the family's 1533-position model. The record is from RNAcentral.
GACGAACGCUGGCGGCGUGCUUAAUACAUGCAAGUCGAACGGAAAGGCCCUGCGCUUGUGGGGUGCUCGAGUGGCGAACGGGUGAGUAACACGUGAGUAACCUGCCCUUGACUUUGGGAUAACUUCAGGAAACUGGGGAUAAUACCGCAUAGAAGCUCCUGCUGCACGGGGGGGGAUGGAAAGUUUCGGCGGUUGGGGAUGGUCUCGCGGCUUAUCGGCUUGUUGGUGGGGUAGUGGCUUACCAAGGCUUUGACGGGUAGCCGGCCUGGGAGGGUGACCGGCCACCAUGCGCCUGCGGUACGCCCCAGUCUCCUACGUGCGGCAGCAGUCGGGAAUCUUGCGCAAUGGGCCGAAGCCUGAUACAGCGACCCCGCGUGCGGGAUGCCGGCCUUCUGGUUAUAAACCGCUUUCGCCUGUGACGAGGCCUGAGUGACGGUAAUGAGUAAAGAAGCACCGGCUAACUACGUG